AGCGGGACAUUUGAGGAUGGGGUGACUGCGUACCUUUUGUAUAAUGGGUCAGCGACUUAUAUUCUGUAGCAAGGUUAACCGUAUAGGGGAGCCGUAGGGAAACCGAGUCUUAACUGGGCGAAUGAGUUGCAGGGUAUAGACCC
Molecule: ribosomal RNA, 143 nt
Filed under: Proteus mirabilis
Lineage: Bacteria; Pseudomonadati; Pseudomonadota; Gammaproteobacteria; Enterobacterales; Morganellaceae
Also listed under: 1 other name
Description: partial 23S ribosomal RNA
Rfam family: Bacterial large subunit ribosomal RNA
Source: RNAcentral